Molecule: long non-coding RNA, 823 nt
Filed under: Medicago truncatula (barrel medic)
Lineage: Eukaryota; Viridiplantae; Streptophyta; Magnoliopsida; Fabales; Fabaceae
Description: lncRNA gene532
Source: RNAcentral
AUUUGACAUAGCUUGGUGAAGAAAAUACCGUUCAUCCAAUUUUGUGGGGGCUGAAAAUGAUAAGAAGUUCUGUAAGGUUGCUCUUUAGGUAUCCUGUACUUGAUAGGAUCAAUACUGUUACUACAUGUUGAUGCCUCAAUUCCAUUUCUACUGUUUAAUAAAAAAGAAAUUAGCAAAAGUAAUAGUUGUACUGCAAAGUUUUUCAUGGUGCAAGCAUGAAGGAGAAGGAGAAGUAGAAGAUCAACAAAAGCAAGAUGGCUUUUGAUUUUAGUUCUAUCAGAUCAAUCAAAUGGUUAAUAUAUUCAUCAUGAAUCUGUCACUUUGUGACAAGAGGACCACCAGAUAGGAAUAAUGAAUGAUAAUUGGAGGUAAUUCCAGCUAGAAAUCAUAUUAAAAAGUUUAUAAGUCUUGAAUUUAAUGUACUUUAUUAGGUUUUCUAUUUUAAAUACCAUAGUCUAAAAAUUGUUUCAGCAUCCAAAAGACUGAUUGAACCUUCAAAAACACCCAAGUAGUAUACAAUUAUAGAAAUCUUUUUGCUUGCUGCUACAGUUAGUUCUUGUUAUAGCAAGUGUAGCUAGGUUGUCACUAGUAUUCAAUUAAAAGAAACCACUUUAUUUUUGGCAAAAGAGGACAUUGCACCAGCUUUAUAUCAAAUCCAACCAUAUAGUUAAAAGGACCAAAGUCUCAAGAGAAAGGUGUUCUCAUAUCCGGCGUUCGGUUAGACGGUAAGUAAAAUUUGGUUAAAGAUUGUUUCAGCAGUCCAUAAACACAUUUAAAUGUUUUUUUUCUUUCACCAAAACUAUUUUUUAUUAAUAUAUCAUGC